GGCCGAUAGAGAGCAGCUCGUUCCCGCUUCGCUGUCUGGUCGCCUCUCGGUGUGAGGACGGAGAGAAGCUCCAGAGAUUCACGGUGUAAUAUCACUGACAAUGCGCUUUGAUAAGAGUGAUAUUAAAGUGGGAAAACACAGUGAGUUGCAGUCGCUGCUAUUUAAAGUUACAUGACGUGUUUUUAGAUUAUCGAAGUUUUCGGCUAUGCUAACAGCCUCGCUAGCGCUAAGCUAACAUUUGUGGGUUAGGAUUUCAUUAGCUGUGGUGCUAACCUUCAGCUAGCUCCAGGAUCAGCCCCAACAAUGGACGACAGGAAACAAGAUGGACUAGGUGACCAGGAAAAUAAAAUCUGUACCUCGACCAGGGAGGAGAGACUUUCCUCAACAACUGUCAAUGAACGUGUGUGAGGAGCCUUCCCGUUGAUAAAGGACUGAGGUAAACCAGACUCCUGGGCUAAAUGGGGGAGAUGAUUAAACGGAACAAACCAACUGGAGGAAUGACAUUCCCAAGAGUAAUCUUUUGGAGCCCAAAUCUCCAUUUUGACCAUCCCCAUCAACGUCGGUCUGUUAGUCCACCACUUUGGUGCAGACUGAAGUAUCUCAACACAGUUUUUUCGUUUUUCUCCCUGCCUGGCUGUUUAGACAGACUCCCUAAACCACACGCCCGGCAGCACACUGAAUUGUGAAUCCAAACAGCCGGAGCAGCAGCAGAUAGACUGACUGAGAAAGGGGGAGGGGGGUAGAGAGAGAAAGAGAGAGAGAGAGAGAGAAGACAGAGAGAGAGAGAGGAGAGAGGGGGGGGGGGGAGAGAGAGAGGAGGAGCGAGAGCGACGACGAGAGGAAAAGAGGAGACAGGAGAGAGGAGAGAGAGAGAGAGAGGGGAGGGGGGGCAGGCGAGAGGAGGAGAGAGAGAGAGAGAGAGAGAGAGAGAGAGAGAGAGAGAGAGAGAGAGAGAGAGUAGCUUUACAUGUAGGGUUCCAUUUUAAUCUAUUUUGGUUGCCUGGGGGUUUCACUUAAAGGUUGAAAUGCCAAUGUUGUGAAAGCUGAGACCCUGAACUAUCUAGCGCUUAGUUUUGUGAUCAGGAAUACUUUCUACCAAUUUUCCCUUAUGUCAGUUAUUACUUUACACUCAAUGACUAGACGGGAUCAACUGCAGCAGUGUAGAUGGUCGAUUGUUUUGGCAGGUGGUUGGUUUAGCGAAGCGUUCAGAGUUUCUCUUUCUGGUCUCGUUUGCAGUGAGCACAGAGAAAAUGAUUACAACAGGGGAAAAAAUGGAUAUAAAGACACAAUUACUUCAGAGAAUUGAAACAUGCCCACACACACACACACACACACACACACACAAUUCAUUGAUGUCUGUCAUGGAUUUGAUGCUCUGGACUGCACAGCACUGUUGCUCAUUAUGACAGAGAGGAAAAUAACAAAGCCAGAAUUGAGUGGGAGCAAAAUCAAGCAAGGAACAAAGUAACAUAAGACAUCAAAGAAGUGAAGCAAAAAUAUUUCUCAAUAUGCGUGUUCUCAGUGACUGAAGUGCGAUAGGAAAAGCUAGAACACCUCGAUAUCAAUACCAAUCAGGUGUGCAUCAGAUACUCACUCGC
This 1598-nucleotide long non-coding RNA is filed under the name Cottoperca gobio. RNAcentral's name for it is "lncRNA (ENSCGOG00000012338.1)". The record is from RNAcentral. Lineage: Eukaryota; Metazoa; Chordata; Actinopteri; Perciformes; Bovichtidae.